CUACUUUGGUUGAUUAGGCUGUUGUUCAGUAUGAUACAUUAAUUGUUAUAAGCUAGGUGUUUAUAAAUUUGUUCAAGCUUGAUGCCUUUAUUUUCUAAUAUAUAUUUCUGAAAUUCCCACAAGGAUUUCAACAUCAUAUCUGAAAUGAGAAAAAACCCCAAAAAAAAAACCACGUUUAUUUGUGUUUAAAUUCAAACAACACAGACUAAACCUGAUUGGUUCCAGAGCCAUUGAACGGCUCUGAUUGGUUCGUAUGAUAAUGAGCUCGCAGCAGAGAGCUUCGUAAAUCAAAUAUGAUGUGCGUGCAAAUGUCCCUUGAAUGUGAAUAUAAGUCUAAAUUUAAACCGUAUUAUAUUAUAUAGAGCGAUCGUGUCUCUUUAGGGCGCUUGGAGGAAACCACGCAAUUCAUAUGGAUUACUUUAGCGAUGUUUUUUUGCGAUGAACUUUUUGAAACGUGAACAUCUUUGAUUAAUCUUUUCAUCGGAGGGACAUACAUCUCUCAGAUUUCAUUUAAAUAUCUCCGCUAUUCUUUCGAAGAUGAAAGAAAGUCUUAGAUGGUUUGGAGCAUCUUAAGGGUGAUUGAUGGCAGAAUUCAAAUUGUUUUGGGGGAAUUAUGAAAUUAAUUAGAAAAUAUGUAAGGGAUAAUCAACGGCUAGCUGUGCAUUAAACGAUUUGAAUGCACGACGUGGAGGCGAAGAACCACCCGACGCGCAGCGGAGUGCAUUCAGAUCGUUUAAUGCACAGCUAGCCGUUGAUUAUCCCGUUUAUGCCAUGGUCAUUUGCCAGCAUUCACAUAUUAAAGAUGUUAAUAAUAUUUGUGCUGCAAUAUUUGACCGGAACGAUAAAAAUGACGGUUAUUUUCGUCUGUAUUACUAUUCAGCUGUAAUUGUAUGUUACUAUGGUUACCAAUGUUUAUAGGAAGCACAUUAAUAUAGAACGUGAUUAAACUGACCUGGAACUACCUGUGCAGUUCAACGAAUUUAAUCAACACUGCCAGCCAAUCAGAAUCCAGUAUUCAGACAGACCAUGGCAUAAAGCGGUAUGUUUUUAUUUUUACCAGCUUCUGCAGCGUGUAUGGCGUCUGGCUUCAGAACCUCACUGUGACUUCAGGUAAGAUUUGUAUUUAAUUAACGUUAUUUGUCUGUACCAGUCAUGUUGUUGACACAUGCAUUGGCAGAAAAAAAAAAAAAAAAAAAUUAGUUAACAUUAACAUUCUUUUAUUUGCAACAUGAAGUAUAUUUAUUUCUGAUUUCCUGAACAAUUUGGCUUCAUUUUAAUGAGGUUAAUGAUCUUUGAAAAAAACAUGAUUAUGAACAUACAGUUACUUUGUCUUGAGCUGAUCAGCAAACUGUGGUAGUGUUGGUUGAUUGGUGUCUAUAUUUGUUCAAGCUUGACAACCUUAUGACUUUAUUUUCUAAUAUAUAUAUUUCUCAUUACAGAUAAGAACAAAGAUUAAAUUGUAAGAAGGGCUGCUUGUAAGAGCAUACAGUAGGCUACAUCUGAAACUGCUGAGACUGAUCAGCUGCUAUAGAAGACAAAAUGAAAUCUGAGUGCAGAGACAAGCAAAGGAAUACUGCAAGACACUACCGACUAGGCUGUGCCCAGGUCUCCGGAACCUGCGACGACGCUCAGCUCCAUUGGCCCUUAGUUGCCUCCCUCGACUCCACCGUGUGUUGUCAGCACUGGGAUGCUCUGGGUCUGUGCCAUGUGCCAAACACCAUCUAAGCCGUCAGGGCAUCAUCGUCAUCCUCCCAUCACCAUCCCUACACCAUCUCCUCGUCCACCUCCAAAACCCCUCCAUCCCUCCCUAUUCUGUUGCUUGAACUUUAUCAUCUUCAGUCUUUGCACACACAUCUAUUCACGUUACAUGUUUUUUUUUCUUCAGAAAAUUGCAUUGUAAUUUUUAUUUAUUCAUUGAUGUAAAAUUCUGUACUUUUCAGUAAUACAGGUAUAACUGAAAUGUUCUACAAAUGGAUAAGAUAGCUCUUCCAUAGCAUUUCAGUCUUUUUUUCAUUUGUAUUUUGUAUAAUGUUUUAAAAUGUACUUGAGUAUGUUUGUAGUAAUACAAAAAUACUAUAAACAUACUUGUAUUUCAAGUGCAUUUCUAAUACAUUUAAUAGUAUGUUUUUUUUGUUUUUCACCGAAAUAUAUA
Molecule: long non-coding RNA, 2152 nt
Organism: Onychostoma macrolepis
Lineage: Eukaryota; Metazoa; Chordata; Actinopteri; Cypriniformes; Cyprinidae
Exons: 3
Source: RefSeq, a predicted model, not a curated record